Molecule: ribosomal RNA, 434 nt
Filed under: uncultured Arcobacter sp.
Lineage: Bacteria; Pseudomonadati; Campylobacterota; Epsilonproteobacteria; Campylobacterales; Arcobacteraceae
Description: bacterial SSU rRNA
Rfam family: Bacterial small subunit ribosomal RNA
Source: RNAcentral
GAAGAACCUUACCUGGACUUGACAUUGAUAGGAUCCUGUAGAGAUAUGGGAGUGCUAGCUUGCUAGAGCUUGAAAACAGGUGCUGCACGGCUGUCGUCAGCUCGUGUCGUGAGAUGUUGGGUUAAGUCCCGCAACGAGCGCAACCCACGUCGUUAGUUGCUAACAGUUAGGCUGAGAACUCUAACGAGACUGCCUUCGUAAGGAGGAGGAAGGUGUGGACGACGUCAAGUCAUCAUGGCCCUUACGUCCAGGGCUACACACGUGCUACAAUGGGAUAUACAAAGAGCAGCGAUACAGUGAUGUGGAGCAAAUCUCAUAAAAUAUCUCCCAGUUCGGAUUGUAGUCUGCAACUCGACUACAUGAAGUUGGAAUCGCUAGUAAUCGUAGAUCAGCAUUGCUACGGUGAAUACGUUCCCGGGUCUUGUACACACCGA